CUUGAUUAUAAAUUUCAACCAAGUAUAUCAUUUUCAUUUUAUAAGCAGUAAUAUAAAAAAUUAAAAUUACACUGUAUUAUAUUUCUAUGACGUAUACGUCUGUUUUUCGUGAGUAUAAUUAUUGUUGUAGAUUUAUAGCUGCUGUAAAUAUGUCGUCAGAAGUAAAAGUGUGAUAUUAUUACACUAUGCAUAGAGUAUUUGGAUGGAAAUGGGAGGAUAACAUCCUUACAGAAUGCAUACACAUGGAAAUCAGUACCAGAAGUAGAAUUUGGUGAUUGUUUUGACUCCAGCAAAGUAUAUUCUUGUACGUCAUACGUGAUCAGGAAGCAACCAACAUUCAAAUAUUGAUUCUUACAUAGAAAAAGAUAAUAACAAGAACAUGGGGAUUCGUGGCGGGGCACACUGCAGUUUGAAGAUUGGGUGCACACAAUAAUUUGAAGACAUACCUCAAUGGCAUCUUGAACAGGAACCCAAUUGGGAUUAUAGUCCACUUGAGAACAAAAAUUCAAACAGAAGUAAAAGUGUGAUAUUAUUACACAUACAUAGAGUAUUUAGAUGGAAAUGGGAGGAUAACAUCCUUACAGAAUGCAUACACAUGGAAAUCAGUACCAGAAGUAGAAUUUGGUGAUCAUUUUGACUCCAGCAAAAUAUAUUCUUGUACGUCAUACGUGAUCAGGAAGCAACCAACAUUCAAAUAUUGAGUUUUACAUUCACUACUUAUUUGUUUCACAUCUACAUCAGAAUGGCACUGAACAAAGUCAACCACAAAAUCACUGCCUACUAGCCGUGGCAGUUUUGACAAUUCCAUCACUACAAGCGAGCAAGCAGUGAUAGUGUUUGCUUGUGGACACAGCUAUAAUUUUUCAUCUUUUCGUUUCCUGCCAGUCAGCCCAUGCAUCUAGUUUGUUCAACAUGAUUUCAAUUUUGGGAAACAUUAAAUCCAAAGCAUUUAUUUAUUAUAUUAUGUACCAGGACUUCUAUUUAUAUGUUUCUACUUAUCAUAUAUAGAUAGAUUCCGGUAUAUAAUAAAUUAAUUACAUCUUGAUGCUAAAUUACUUUUAAAAGGUAAGAUGAUUGGUACAAUAUACAAUUAUCUAUUCCUACAAACCGUUAUUACAUUUAUGGAUAUUUGCUUAACCAUUGUAUCUAUUAAAUUUCUGUAUGUAUUACCUAUAAUUGAUACUGUACUGUUUGCUUUGAGGUAUUAUCUUCAAAUAAAUAAAUAAAUUUGUCUAACAUAAAUUAAAAUCUACCCCACAUACUUCAUUACUUAUAUUACCUAUUAAUUUUGUCACUUUAUUCUUAUUUGAGUAAUAUACCUCAUUGUUUAUACAACAGUAUGGAGAUAUCCAUAGGCUACUCAUUUUAAAAUACAUAUAUAGAAUAUACACAAACUAAAUUAACAAAUAAAACCACAAAACUAAUCAUUAAGUACUAUUUUACUAAAAUUUGACAAAUCUGCUAUAAAGAGUAAAUUCAAUUUCAGCAAAAAUAAAAAUAAAAAUAUACUCGCCAAUAAUAAUCUAGUUAUAACUUGUCUAUUUCUAAAUACUAUUGUUGUAAUAAUUCGAUGUAUUUAAAUAACAUAAUAUGACAUAUUAUUUAUUUUAUUAUCAGUAAGUCAAUACAAUUGCUUGUAUAAAUAGGUACCACUACAACAAAAACAAAUAUUUAAUAAAUAAUAUUAAUAUUACAUACGUCCUUAAUUCUUAUUACAAUUGUUUAGGUCAUUUGUUAUUUCUAUAAGUAUUUAACAGUAUUUUUUAUUCACUUGUAAUUAUUGUUGUAAGUGUUCAAUUAAUAAUUGAUAAUUUUGAACUGUAUCUCAUUUUAUAGUUAAUUAUAA
RNAcentral lists this long non-coding RNA (1846 nucleotides) under Acyrthosiphon pisum (pea aphid). Its description in RNAcentral is "uncharacterized LOC103309439". The record is from RNAcentral. Lineage: Eukaryota; Metazoa; Arthropoda; Insecta; Hemiptera; Aphididae.